UCUUCACCAAACUCAAGCCUGCCAUCGCGGUCAACUCCUCUCUCAAGUCCACUGAUGUAUGCUGCGAGUCACUGGACAAAGUGGAAACAGCAGGAAAGCCGUCCAUAUGGAGAAUGUUCCUCCCAGAUUAAAACUCUCCUGUGGCUAAAAGCAAGAAAAACCGGCCUCCACAAAUAACCACCCACUCGGACAGUACCAUCCGCACGCAGGAUCUGCUAAAGAAACCACUAGCAACUGCACCGAGCCAACUUUUAAAACGAGGUGCGUCUAUAAUAUGUUCUUCCCAAGAAUCCAGCGCUCCCGUUCAGUGGAAAGAGAAUACCAAACUGCAAAUACAUUAACAGGACAUUGUCGCUCCGGGACUGGGAUCUGACAACUUGUUGCGGACCGUGAGAUGAAGUGCUGGGAUUAACCAUUCAGUGCUUUCGAAGAGGGCCAAAGAACACCACUUUGGGUGCUCCACCUUUGUCAGGAUACUCAAGCCAAAAUGAGUUAAUGUCCUGGAAGCUGGGGACGAUUUUACCAUCUGUCAGGCAAAUCCGGCGGGACAGGCUGGGCUGGGGCUUUGCUGGCAGGCAGAUGAGAGGCUGCUAGCAUCGAAGACUAAUUAGCGCAAAUAAGCACCUCCUGAGCUCCUCAAUCCUAUGACAACUCAAGCGAAAAAAUCAGAAGACAAACUUGGCCAUGUUCUAUUAAUGCAGCUCAAGCUGAAUCCUUCAGAAUUUUCCUCCUUCGCUUUUCUUUUAUAGCCACCAGUCAUGACCCAGGCAACUGUUGCUUUAUA
Danio aesculapii is the source of this 784-nucleotide long non-coding RNA. RefSeq lists it as uncharacterized. The record is from RefSeq and is a predicted model, not a curated record. The transcript is spliced from 3 exons. NCBI's taxonomy places the organism in Eukaryota, Metazoa, Chordata, Actinopteri, Cypriniformes, Danionidae.